GUGGGGAAUAUUGGACAAUGGGCGAAAGCCUGAUCCAGCAAUGCCGCGUGAGUGAAGAAGGCCUUAGGGUUGUAAAGCUCUUUUACCCGGGAAGAUAAUGACUGUACCGGGAGAAUAAGCUCCGGCUAACUCCGUGCCAGCAGCCGCGGUAAUACGGAGGGAGCUAGCGGUGUUCGGAAUCACUGGGCGUAAAGCGCACGUAGGCGGCUUUGUAAGUUAGAGGUGAACGCCCGGGGCUCAACUCCGGAACUGCCUUUAAGACUGCAUCGCUUGAAUCUGGGAGAGGUAAGUGGAAUUCCGAGUGUAGAGGUGAAAUUCGUAGAUAUUCGGAAGAACACCAGUGGCGAAGGCGGCUUACUGGACCAGAAUUGACGCUGAGGUGCGAAAGCGUGGGGAGCAAACAGGAUUAGAAACCCUUGUAGUCC
RNAcentral lists this ribosomal RNA (425 nucleotides) under uncultured bacterium. Its description in RNAcentral is "partial 16S ribosomal RNA". It matches the Rfam family "Bacterial small subunit ribosomal RNA", at positions 354 to 796 of the family's 1533-position model. The record is from RNAcentral.